UGCAUUUGGCAUAUGUUUUUUGUCCAAUUUGGACAAAGACUGAGAUACAGGUACAAAAAAUAAAUCCUCUUUCGCAACCCAAAACUCAUUGAUCAGUAUGAGUUUUGAUACAUACAAGUAGGAAUAGG
Molecule: small nucleolar RNA, 128 nt
Organism: Oryctolagus cuniculus (rabbit)
Lineage: Eukaryota; Metazoa; Chordata; Mammalia; Lagomorpha; Leporidae
Source: Ensembl